UUAUGGUUAAAUCAUAAUUCCUUCAAAGCCUAAAAACCGAACAGAUUUUAAGCGUGCACGCCUCCCCGUCUCUCAGAGAGAGUCAUCGGUUCUCUAAACCGCUGAGAAGAUACACGCAUCGCUUGAUCUGCAGGGAAGCGGCGGAAGACGAUGCUCCGGAUCUGUCACGCACUCGUUAAGAAUCUCCUCCCUUUGGAAUCGGAACUGGUUAAAGGCUACAAGUUUAUACCGAUGAGGGAUGGUUAAGACAAAUAGAGGUGUUGCAUUCUCGAUAUAAUGGUAUAUGCAUCUUGUGCUAUCUGAUCUAUACGACUACUGCGUUUUCCAGUUAUAGCUCUUGGUCAGUCAUUCUGUAUUGACUCUAAACCUCUGUUAAAAGGUUCGGGAUAAUAAGAAGUAAACCUUCUGGGACAGCUAGUGAGCAUGAACAGUUAAUCAUUGCUUCCAUUAUCAUACAGGACAAUGAAGCACUUAAGAGUUGCAUAUACAACAUGGAUCCUGUGUUAUAAUUCAGCAUCUGGUGAACAUACACAAUGAUAAAUGAAGCACACAGAAGUGGUUAUACAAGUUGGACAUAUCUAUAUUAAUCGUAAAAGCCGGUACUGUAAAAGAAAAGGAGAGAUGGUGCAGGCAUUGGCAACUGUGCCGGAGAUAAUAUUGAAGAAUAGGAAAGGUGAUGAAUUGGCUUUGAGGAGGAUGGCUGCUUUCGGCAUAAGAAGUAUAAGCAAGAGUUUAUCAGGAAACCUGAGGACUUUGUCAAAGAGUUUCACUAAAGGGAGGUGGACAUUGUUCAAAUGAAACACAGGCUGAAGAGAAAGGCCAGCAUUAGAGACAACUAGCCCCCAGCUUGAAUACAGGGGAGAAAUGACAUGCAUCCUGCUAUUAGGAAGAACUUAUACAGCCUAAACUUUGCAGGGUAGGUUAUGCAAAGAUUGACACUAGCACUUAUAAUAUAGUUAAAGCUAUUUGUAUGGUGACUUUGAGGCAGUUAAGGCUUAUAAAUUUUCAAUCUUCUAAA
This is a long non-coding RNA of Rosa chinensis, 1018 nucleotides long. RefSeq lists it as uncharacterized. The transcript is spliced from 4 exons. Lineage: Eukaryota; Viridiplantae; Streptophyta; Magnoliopsida; Rosales; Rosaceae. The record is from RefSeq and is a predicted model, not a curated record.